GACGAACGCUGGCGGCGUGCUUAACACAUGCAAGUCGAACGGAAAGGCGCUGCUUUUGUGGGGUGCUUGAUUGCCGAACGGGUGAGUAACACGUGUGUAACCUGUCCUUGACUUUGGGAUAACUUUACGAAACUGGGGCUAUUAUCGGAUAUGAGCUCCUGCUGCAUGGUGGGGGUUGGAAAGUUUCGGUGGUUGGGGAUGGACUCGCGGCUUAUCCGCUGGUUUGUCGGGUAGUGGCGUUCCAAGCCUUUGACGGGUAGGCGGCCUGGGAGGGGUGACAGCGACAUGGGGCCUGCGAGACGGCGCAGACGCCUACGGGAGGCAGCAGGGGGGAGUAUUACGCAGUAAGCGGGAGCCAGAGACAGCGACGCCGCGUGCGGAAUAACGGGCUUCGGGGGAUAAACCGCUUUCGAAGGUGACGAGGCGAGAGUGACGGUAAUGAGUAAGGAAGCACCGGCUAACUACGUG
This 468-nucleotide ribosomal RNA is filed under the name uncultured bacterium. RNAcentral's name for it is "partial 16S ribosomal RNA". It matches the Rfam family "Bacterial small subunit ribosomal RNA", at positions 28 to 507 of the family's 1533-position model. The record is from RNAcentral.